CCCCUUGCGCCCUGCCCCUGCGGCCCCUAUAUUCCCUCUUGCCCGGGGCGACCCGGACUAUGGCGAUAAACGCACCUGUAAUAGACGGCUCGGACCCGGGGGCGGUACCCGGCGGCUCCACCAACACCCCGGCAUUGCGGGAGGACGGGGCCGAAACAGGAUCGACGGACGUUCAAAGAGGCCAGCUUUCGCUCGGUGAGGUACCACCGUUAUCGGUCCAAGAUCACAGUUGCCAAUGACAACCGUGCUCCGGUGGCGCUGGCUGCGUAAGCGGCUCGCAAUACCAAACACAAGCCCCUGCGCUUAGCCGCGCAGGGCGGGGUCCGCAGGCACCUGGCAACAGAAGCCUGCACU
This 354-nucleotide transfer-messenger RNA is filed under the name Rhodobacter sp. SGA-6-6. RNAcentral's name for it is "Alphaproteobacteria transfer-messenger RNA". It matches the Rfam family "Alphaproteobacteria transfer-messenger RNA". Rfam says of the family: Bacterial tmRNA, also known as 10Sa RNA or SsrA, is named for its dual tRNA and mRNA-like properties. Its role is to liberate the mRNA from a stalled ribosome. To accomplish this part of the tmRNA is used as a reading frame that ends in a translation stop signal. The record is from Rfam by way of RNAcentral. Lineage: Bacteria; Pseudomonadati; Pseudomonadota; Alphaproteobacteria; Rhodobacterales.